Molecule: ribosomal RNA, 957 nt
Filed under: Sordariomycetes sp. genotype 8
Lineage: Eukaryota; Fungi; Ascomycota; Sordariomycetes
Description: eukaryotic LSU rRNA
Rfam family: Eukaryotic large subunit ribosomal RNA (bases 437-957)
Source: RNAcentral
CAGCGUUGCCUCGGCGGGCGGCCCCUCCCUGGGGCCGCCGCCUCCCUCGGGGGGUGCCCGCCGGCGUACCAAAACUCUUUUGUAUUUUAGUGGCCUCUCUGAGAAAACAAGCAAAUAAGUUAAAACUUUCAACAACGGAUCUCUUGGUUCUGGCAUCGAUGAAGAACGCAGCGAAAUGCGAUAAGUAAUGUGAAUUGCAGAAUUCAGUGAAUCAUCGAAUCUUUGAACGCACAUUGCGCCCGCCAGUACUCUGGCGGGCAUGCCUGUUCGAGCGUCAUUUCAACCCUCAAGCCCUGCUUGGUGUUGGGGUCCUACGGCUGCCGUAGGCCCUGAAAGCUAGUGGCGGGCUCGCUAUAACUCCGAGCGUAGUAGUAAAAUAUCUCGCUAGGGAGGUGUCGCGGGUUCCGGCCGUGAAAGCCCAUCUUUUACACAAGGUUGACCUCGGAUCAGGUAGGAAUACCCGCUGAACUUAAGCAUAUCAAUAAGCGGAGGAAAAGAAACCAACAGGGAUUGCCCCAGUAACGGCGAGUGAAGCGGCAACAGCUCAAAUUUGAAAUCUGGCUUCGGCCCGAGUUGUAAUUUGUAGAGGAUGCUUUUGGUGAGGUGCCUUCUGAGUUCCCUGGAACGGGACGCCAGAGAGGGUGAGAGCCCCGUAUAGUUGGACACCGAGCCUCUGUAAAGCUCCUUCGACGAGUCGAGUAGUUUGGGAAUGCUGCUCAAAAUGGGAGGUAUAUCUCUUCUAAAGCUAAAUACUGGCCAGAGACCGAUAGCGCACAAGUAGAGUGAUCGAAAGAUGAAAAGCACUUUGAAAAGAGGGUUAAAUAGUACGUGAAAUUGUUGAAAGGGAAGCGCUUGUGACCAGACUUGUGCCCGGCUGAUCAUCCAGUGUUCUCACUGGUGCACUCUGCCGGGCUCAGGCCAGCGUCGGUUCUCGCAGGGGGACAAAAGCUUCGGGAA